GGGUUGUGAGGUUAAGCGACUAAGCGUACACGGUGGAUGCCCUGGCAGUCAGAGGCGAUGAAGGACGUGCUAAUCUGCGAUAAGCGUCGGUAAGGUGAUAUGAACCGUUAUAACCGGCGAUUUCCGAAUGGGGAAACCCAGUGUGUUUCGACACACUAUCAUUAACUGAAUCCAUAGGUUAAUGAGGCGAACCGGGGGAACUGAAACAUCUAAGUACCCCGAGGAAAAGAAAUCAACCGAGAUUCCCCCAGUAGCGGCGAGCGAACGGGGAGGAGCCCAGAGCCUGAAUCAGUGUGUGUGUUAGUGGAAGCGUCUGGAAAGGCGCGCGAUACAGGGUGACAGCCCCGUACACAAAAAUGCACAUGCUGUGAGCUCGAUGAGUAGGGCGGGACACGUGGUAUCCUGUCUGAAUAUGGGGGGACCAUCCUCCAAGGCUAAAUACUCCUGACUGACCGAUAGUGAACCAGUACCGUGAGGGAAAGGCGAAAAGAACCCCGGCGAGGGGAGUGAAAAAGAACCUGAAACCGUGUACGUACAAGCAGUGGGAGCACGCUUAGGCGUGUGACUGCGUACCUUUUGUAUAAUGGGUCAGCGACUUAUAUUCUGUAGCAAGGUUAACCGAAUAGGGGAGCCGAAGGGAAACCGAGUCUUAACUGGGCGUUAAGUUGCAGGGUAUAGACCCGAAACCCGGUGAUCUAGCCAUGGGCAGGUUGAAGGUUGGGUAACACUAACUGGAGGACCGAACCGACUAAUGUUGAAAAAUUAGCGGAUGACUUGUGGCUGGGGGUGAAAGGCCAAUCAAACCGGGAGAUAGCUGGUUCUCCCCGAAAGCUAUUUAGGUAGCGCCUCGUGAAUUCAUCUCCGGGGGUAGAGCACUGUUUCGGCAAGGGGGUCAUCCCGACUUACCAACCCGAUGCAAACUGCGAAUACCGGAGAAUGUUAUCACGGGAGACACACGGCGGGUGCUAACGUCCGUCGUGAAGAGGGAAACAACCCAGACCGCCAGCUAAGGUCCCAAAGUCAUGGUUAAGUGGGAAACGAUGUGGGAAGGCCCAGACAGCCAGGAUGUUGGCUUAGAAGCAGCCAUCAUUUAAAGAAAGCGUAAUAGCUCACUGGUCGAGUCGGCCUGCGCGGAAGAUGUAACGGGGCUAAACCAUGCACCGAAGCUGCGGCAGCGACGCUUAUGCGUUGUUGGGUAGGGGAGCGUUCUGUAAGCCUGUGAAGGUGUACUGUGAGGUAUGCUGGAGGUAUCAGAAGUGCGAAUGCUGACAUAAGUAACGAUAAAGCGGGUGAAAAGCCCGCUCGCCGGAAGACCAAGGGUUCCUGUCCAACGUUAAUCGGGGCAGGGUGAGUCGACCCCUAAGGCGAGGCCGAAAGGCGUAGUCGAUGGGAAACAGGUUAAUAUUCCUGUACUUGGUGUUACUGCGAAGGGGGGACGGAGAAGGCUAUGUUGGCCGGGCGACGGUUGUCCCGGUUUAAGCGUGUAGGCUGGUUUUCCAGGCAAAUCCGGAAAAUCAAGGCUGAGGCGUGAUGACGAGGCACUACGGUGCUGAAGCAACAAAUGCCCUGCUUCCAGGAAAAGCCUCUAAGCAUCAGGUAACAUCAAAUCGUACCCCAAACCGACACAGGUGGUCAGGUAGAGAAUACCAAGGCGCUUGAGAGAACUCGGGUGAAGGAACUAGGCAAAAUGGUGCCGUAACUUCGGGAGAAGGCACGCUGAUAUGUAGGUGAAGUCCCUCGCGGAUGGAGCUGAAAUCAGUCGAAGAUACCAGCUGGCUGCAACUGUUUAUUAAAAACACAGCACUGUGCAAACACGAAAGUGGACGUAUACGGUGUGACGCCUGCCCGGUGCCGGAAGGUUAAUUGAUGGGGUCAGCGCAAGCGAAGCUCUUGAUCGAAGCCCCGGUAAACGGCGGCCGUAACUAUAACGGUCCUAAGGUAGCGAAAUUCCUUGUCGGGUAAGUUCCGACCUGCACGAAUGGCGUAAUGAUGGCCAGGCUGUCUCCACCCGAGACUCAGUGAAAUUGAACUCGCUGUGAAGAUGCAGUGUACCCGCGGCAAGACGGAAAGACCCCGUGAACCUUUACUAUAGCUUGACACUGAACAUUGAGCCUUGAUGUGUAGGAUAGGUGGGAGGCUUUGAAGUGUGGACGCCAGUCUGCAUGGAGCCGACCUUGAAAUACCACCCUUUAAUGUUUGAUGUUCUAACGUGGACCCGUAAUCCGGGUUGCGGACAGUGUCUGGUGGGUAGUUUGACUGGGGCGGUCUCCUCCUAAAGAGUAACGGAGGAGCACGAAGGUUGGCUAAUCCUGGUCGGACAUCAGGAGGUUAGUGCAAUGGCAUAAGCCAGCUUGACUGCGAGCGUGACGGCGCGAGCAGGUGCGAAAGCAGGUCAUAGUGAUCCGGUGGUUCUGAAUGGAAGGGCCAUCGCUCAACGGAUAAAAGGUACUCCGGGGAUAACAGGCUGAUACCGCCCAAGAGUUCAUAUCGACGGCGGUGUUUGGCACCUCGAUGUCGGCUCAUCACAUCCUGGGGCUGAAGUAGGUCCCAAGGGUAUGGCUGUUCGCCAUUUAAAGUGGUACGCGAGCUGGGUUUAGAACGUCGUGAGACAGUUCGGUCCCUAUCUGCCGUGGGCGCUGGAGAACUGAGGGGGGCUGCUCCUAGUACGAGAGGACCGGAGUGGACGCAUCACUGGUGUUCGGGUUGUCAUGCCAAUGGCACUGCCCGGUAGCUAAAUGCGGAAGAGAUAAGUGCUGAAAGCAUCUAAGCACGAAACUUGCCCCGAGAUGAGUUCUCCCUGACUCCUUGAGAGUCCUGAAGGAACGUUGAAGACGACGACGUUGAUAGGCCGGGUGUGUAAGCGCAGCGAUGCGUUGAGCUAACCGGUACUAAUGAACCGUGAGGCUUAACCUUACAACGCCGAAGCUGUU
This 2930-nucleotide ribosomal RNA is filed under the name Escherichia coli. RNAcentral describes it as "23S ribosomal RNA". It matches the Rfam family "Bacterial large subunit ribosomal RNA". The record is from RNAcentral. Lineage: Bacteria; Pseudomonadati; Pseudomonadota; Gammaproteobacteria; Enterobacterales; Enterobacteriaceae.